GGGAGAGGAGCCCCAGCCUUGGGAUUCCCAGGUGUUUUCAUUCAGUGAUCAGCACUGAAGACAGAAGACUCACCAUGGAAUUUAGGCUGAGCUGGGUUUUCCUUGUUGGUAUUUUAAAAGGUGUCCAGUGUGAGGUGCAGCUGGUCGAGUCUGGAGGAGGCUUGGUACAGCCUGGGGGGUCCCUGAGACUCUCCUGUGCAGCCUCUGGAUUCACCUUCAGUAGCUAUGGCAUGCACUGGGCCCGCCAGGCUCCGGGGAAGGGGCUGGAGUGGGUCUCCGCUAUUAAUAAUGGUGGGGGUAGCACAUGGUACGCAGACUCCGUGAAGGGCAGAUUCACCAUCUCCAGAGAGAACGCCAAGAACACACUGUAUCUUCAAAUGAACAGCCUGAGAGCUGAGGACACGGCUGUCUAUUACUGUGCGAAAGACACAGUGAGGGGGAGUCAGUGUGAGCCCAGACACAAACCUCCCUGCAGGAACGCGGGGGGAAAUCAGCGGCAGGGGGCGCUCGGGACCCACUGA
This is a non-coding RNA of Mandrillus leucophaeus (drill), 521 nucleotides long. NCBI's taxonomy places the organism in Eukaryota, Metazoa, Chordata, Mammalia, Primates, Cercopithecidae. The record is from the annotation of a RefSeq genome assembly.